GACGAACGCUGGCGGCGUGCUUAACACAUGCAAGUCGAACGAUGAAGCCAGCUUGCUGGUGGAUUAGUGGCGCACGGGUGCGUAACACGUGGGUGAUCUGCCCCAAACUUUGGGAUAGGCCUGGGAAACUGGGUCUAAUACCGAAUAUGACCGAUACUCGCAUGGGUGUUGGUGGAAAGCUCCGGCGGUUUGGGAUGGGCCCGCGGCCUAUCAGCUUGUUGGUGGGGUAAUGGCCUACCAAGGCGACGACGGGUAGCCGGCCUGAGAGGGCGACCGGCCACACUGGGACUGAGACACGGCCCAGACUCCUACGGGAGGCAGCAGUGGGGAAUAUUGCACAAUGGGCGCAAGCCUGAUGCAGCGACGCCGCGUGAGGGAUGACGGCCUUCGGGUUGUAAACCUCUUUCACCAGGGACGAAGCGAAAGUGACGGUACCUGGAGAAGAAGCACCGGCCAACUACGUG
Molecule: ribosomal RNA, 464 nt
Filed under: uncultured bacterium
Lineage: Bacteria
Description: partial 16S ribosomal RNA
Rfam family: Bacterial small subunit ribosomal RNA
Source: RNAcentral